RNAcentral lists this ribosomal RNA (253 nucleotides) under uncultured bacterium. RNAcentral's name for it is "partial 16S ribosomal RNA". It matches the Rfam family "Bacterial small subunit ribosomal RNA", at positions 524 to 776 of the family's 1533-position model. The record is from RNAcentral.
UACGAAGGGGGCUAGCGUUGUUCGGAAUUACUGGGCGUAAAGCGCGCGCAGGUGGUUUUCCAAGUCAGUGGUGAAAGCCCGGAGCUCAACUCCGGAACUGCCAUUGAAACUGUGAAACUCGAGGACGAGAGAGGUGAGUGGAAUUCCCAGUGUAGAGGUGAAAUUCGUAGAUAUUGGGAAGAACACCGGUGGCGAAGGCGGCUCACUGGCUCGUAUCUGACACUCAAGCGCGACAGCGUGGGGAUCAAACAGG